UGCGCAUGUCCAUGUCUUGAUCAAUUGCGUUGAAGUUAAACCAUACCUUGAGUAUGUCCUCAUCCCUUUUCUUAACUUUGUAAUAUUGACAUUUCUGUAGUCACUUAUUGUGUUCAUCAUAUUCAACAACUCAUUUGUUGUGGCUGAGCAUAUUCCAGAAGGAAGUUCUUCUGGCCGAAUUCACUCUGAGUUUUCGAAUUGGUUCAGAUAUCAAGUAUGUACAUGUUUCCUAGAGUUCAUUUAGAUGUACUACACUUCAUGUCACCUUUCAUUCCCCU
This 278-nucleotide long non-coding RNA is filed under the name Vigna radiata. RNAcentral's name for it is "long non-coding RNA (VRAD_LNC016288)". Lineage: Eukaryota; Viridiplantae; Streptophyta; Magnoliopsida; Fabales; Fabaceae. The record is from RNAcentral.